CGUGGAAGUCCACCCCCAUGAGGGAAGCCAUCCUGGGUAGGAGUCCGGGGAUCUGCUCCAGCUGCUGCCUAGAGCUCUCCACACGGUUGUCAACAAUCUGCUCGUCCAGCCACCAGUGCCGCUUCCUCAGGAGGCGGAGCCGGCGGAGCAUCCAGUCCUUAGUGGUUUCCGUGGCGAUGGGCUUGCAGCAGCAGGUGUGUGUGGCUUCUGAUAGGCUGGGGCCGGCAGUCGGACACUCCAGCUUCAGCAGAUCUGACAUCAUAAACAAUACAUUCAUCAUCUUUGUAACACAGCAUAACAAUAUUACCCCAUAAAUAAGUGCAGGUUAACUCCAUA
Oncorhynchus nerka (sockeye salmon) is the source of this 336-nucleotide long non-coding RNA. RefSeq lists it as uncharacterized. The transcript is spliced from 2 exons. NCBI's taxonomy places the organism in Eukaryota, Metazoa, Chordata, Actinopteri, Salmoniformes, Salmonidae. The record is from RefSeq and is a predicted model, not a curated record.